UUGAUUUCGACUUUUCGGCGCUUCACUUCGCUUUCGGGGGCUUGUUCGCUUUUGGAGCUCCACUGGCGCUGAGUGGAUGAUUUUAUGCUGUAUGCGCAGCGCACUUGAUGGCAAUUGUUGUCAUUGUUUUAGUCGUGUGUGGAAUCGGAUGUUCGGUGUCUCCCUCGCACAGCGGUAAAAUGUGUGCGAGUGUGUUCCGUUCCGUUCGCGUCGUUCAUUGAUUUCCUAAUUAAGUUUAUAAUUAAAAUUAAUUGAAAAAUUACUCAUGUAUGUACGUAUGUGCAUGUACGGACAUGUAAAUUGGAUGACCGCGUGUGAAAGCCUAUUAAAUAAGUUAUGUUAUGUGCUUACAAGUUCCCCUCGCAUAAACAUACAAACAUAUGAACCUACGUACAUAUGAAUAAUAAAUUGCUUUGAAUUCGAAAACGAAAUUGUGCCAAAAACAUCAGCAGCUAAAGAGAGUCUGCUGCGGCAAUUACAUUAUUUAUUCUAACAAAACGACUAUAAAAAUUCCUUGAAUAAAAAAAUUCCAUCGCAAGUUCAGAAAUCUCCUGGCUGCCAGUGUUGCCAACCGCCCGCACAGCCGUGGCCUUGGCGAGAUCGCUACCUGUUCACGUAUUUUACGACCCGAAAGAGUCGUAAAUGUGAAAGAACUGUAAAAACUGCAAUAAAACUUAACAUUUAUGCGCGUUCCAGGUGGUCCUGCCAAACGCCCAACGAUGUGGCAACCCUAGGCAAAUGAACUGUUUUACCUGCCCAAAACGCACAACAACAAUAACUAAAAAGAACAACUGCAGGAACGAAAGAGAGAGCGGGCAGCUCAACGGAUAAUUUAGUGGAAUUUUCAAAAAUAGCAAAGACAGCAACAACGGCGGCGGCCAUAAUCCCCCAGCGAGAGCACAAUAA
Non-coding RNA from Drosophila takahashii, 906 nucleotides. The record is from RefSeq and is a predicted model, not a curated record. Lineage: Eukaryota; Metazoa; Arthropoda; Insecta; Diptera; Drosophilidae.